AGCGAACGCUGGCGGCAGGCCUAACACAUGCAAGUCGAACGAACUCUUCGGAGUUAGUGGCGGACGGGUGAGUAACACGUGGGAACGUGCCUUUAGGUUCGGAAUAACUCAGGGAAACUGGUGCUAAUACCGAAUGUGCCCUUCGGGGGAAAGAUUUAUCGCCUUUAGAGCGGCCCGCGUCUGAUUAGCUAGUUGGUGAGGUAAAGGCUCACCAAGGCGACGGUCAGUAGCUGGUCUCAGAGGAUGAUCAGCCACAUUGGGACUGAGACACGGCCCAAACUCCAACGUGAGGCAGCAGUGGGGAAUCUUGCGCAAUGGGCGAAAGCCUGACGCAGCCAUGCCGCGUGAAUGAUGAAGGUCUUAGGAUUGUAAAAUUCUUUCACCGGGGACGAUAAUGACGGUACCCGGAGAAGAAGCCCCGGCUAACUUCGUGCCAGCAGCCGCGGUAA
This 449-nucleotide ribosomal RNA is filed under the name uncultured bacterium. RNAcentral describes it as "partial 16S ribosomal RNA". It matches the Rfam family "Bacterial small subunit ribosomal RNA", at positions 29 to 523 of the family's 1533-position model. The record is from RNAcentral.